AUGUAUACUCACAGCCCAGUCACUUUUGAUCUGCCCAAUAUGCUGCUGACUGUCAAACAAAAUCAUGAGCACUUGAUCACUUUUAUUGAUGAAAGCUUGCCCACUAGCCCUUCUGUUCCUAUACUCCAGGAUAUGGAGUACAUUCUGGAUGAUGUGCUAACUGGAGCACUAAUGUGGAUGCAACCAAUCCAACAAACAAUGGAAGACUUGCAAGAGUAUCAACCAGAUCUGUCCAAGUUACUGGGGGACUUUAAAGAUAUAUUCCAAGAACCAAUGGGCUUACCUCCAAAGAGGGAAUGUGAUCAUGCCAUCAAUUUAGAACCAGGAGCUCCUGUCAUCAACCAAAGAUGCUAUAGAAUGCCACAUCAGCAGAAAAAUGCACGGGAGAGUAUAAUCAAGGAGCUAAUUGCUAAAGGAAUUAUCAGAAUCAGUACAAGUCCCUACUCUUCCCCUGCUAUCUUAGUAAGAAAAAAGGACUUGUCCUGGAGAUUAUGUGUGGACUACAGGAAACUCAACACAUAUACAAUCAAAAACAAAUAUCCAAUACCCAUGAUUGAAGAUCUAUUAGAUGAACUGCAUGGAGCUACUAUUUUCACCAAGAUUGAUUUAAGGAGUGGUUAUCACCAGAUCAGGAUGAAGGCAGAAGACAUUGAGAAAACUGCAUUCAGCACACACAUGGGACUGUUUGAGUUUUUGGUCAUGCCUUUUGGAGUGACAAAUGGCCCUCCCUCCUUUCACCAACUUAUGCAUUCUGUGUUGGGCCCACUUCUCAGAGAAUGUGUAUUAGUAUUCUUUGAUGACAUCUUGGUUUUCAGUAAAACAUACAAAGAUCACCUGGAGCAUUUGGCAAUGGUUUUCAAGGCACUUAGAGAGCAUAGCUUGUAUGCAAAACUCUCUAAAUGUACUUUUGCACAAGAAAAAGUGGAAUAUCUUGGUUAUGUGAUCACUGCCAAGGGAGUUUCAACAGACCCUGCUAAAGUGAAAGCUAUUAACAAUUGGCCCCAACCAGAAAAUGUCACCCAGUUGAGAAGUUUUCUUGGGUUGGCUGGCUACUACAGGAGGUUCAUCAGAAAUUUUGGAAUUAUCUGCAGACCUCUCUUUGAUGCUCUGAAGAAGGACAUUUUUCUCUGGUCUGAAAAACAAGAAACUGCUUUCCAACAGUUAAAGACAAGCAUGACAGCAGCACCUGUGUUUAGCACUCCCAGAUUUCAACGGCUAUGGAGUGGGAGCAGUACUCAUGCAGAAGGGGCAACCCAUUGCUUUCCUCAGCAAGGCAAUUGGCCCCAAAGCUGCUGGAUGGUCCACAUAUGA
RNAcentral lists this ribosomal RNA (1311 nucleotides) under Triticum aestivum (bread wheat). Its description in RNAcentral is "partial small subunit ribosomal RNA". The record is from RNAcentral. Lineage: Eukaryota; Viridiplantae; Streptophyta; Magnoliopsida; Poales; Poaceae.